UUCAAACUAACUCCGUUAAGAGAGGAUCACCUUCACCCAUUAUUCUGAUUAGCUUUAUAAAUUCCGGCUCGCUUGACACCUUCCAUGGAUGCACUGCAGGUGCGUGUGCGGAAUAAUGUGUCGAAGAAGAAUUAGCAGAUUGUGGUUCUGGCUUAUACACCAUUGUACUAAGCACUGAAUCGAAAUUCUGAGGUGAAUCCAUUGACAAAAAGAACAUGGGUAUGGAAACCUUUUGAUGGAUAUCUAGAUGUCCGACCAGAUUAACAAGAUCAACAAAGUCCGCUACAAACUGUCGAGGAAUGUAGAAUAUCUCAGAACUGCAAAUUGUGAGGCUCUGGUCACUCCUCACAACUUCUCUAUAGUUCAGUUGGAAGUGAACCGGCAUUGUACUAACUACCUUCCUUACCAGCUCCGCUUGCUUUGAGUACCAAUCAGAACUUCCUUUGGUUGAUACAGUACUCCAAGACAUGGAUACCUAAAUGCCAUCAAAUGAAGAAGAAAAUAGGAGCAAUGACUUAGUAGUUCCUCGUAAUGAACAUUUCCAUAUUUUAGGAACAUAAUACGCCAAGCUUGUAAGAUUAUAUUUCUAUUUGCAAAAUUAUUUUUGAACAAUCCAAAAUGUUUUCUUCAAAUAAAUGGCGAAAGAAAUCUACUAUGUAACAGCUAAGCACUAGAACAAUAUAAUUUCUUAAAAGAAAAUACAAAAGCUGAAGUACCGUAGGUAGGACAAAUAAUUAUUGACAACAUUUUAAAUAUGUAAAACGAGAAGUAAAGCACAAAUGCCAAGUGAAAAGGAAGAAUUUAGGUACCUUAUCCGUUAUCCAUAGCUUAGUCUUGUCUGCCUGUAAGAGAUUCCAGUAAUUAAGAACAGUAUCAUCUUCGAGGAAUAAAAAGCCAUCAGCACUUGAAAACCGAUCAAAUAUCUUGGGCAGAUGCCUACAAAAUAUGUUGAGAGACAAUUAGUAAACAUAAAAGAUGCUUCGUAAAAGUAAUUAUCAUUUAACAUUCCAACAGGACAACUCAAUACUAGUAAAACAGGCAUGACCACACUAAACAGCUAUGGUUUCCAUGGUUACUAACUAUAAAUUGACCAUUUAACAACAAUUUGCUGCUUUUAGAAAGUCUUAAUUCAGAAGAAAGUAACAUACAAAACCUUAAUUGUCUAAGUACCAAAUGUGAUAACCUGUCAAAAAUAUAGAAAAAAAAAAAACCACACAAAAACAUGCAAUUAUUAUUGCAUUUAUAAUUCGUAAAACUCCAUUAAGAUUAUAAGGUAACUCUUCCCUUUUAGGGUUUGCUUAGUAGGGAGAAUCAAAACAAGAAGAAGAAGAAUUCAUAAUCCAAGGUUAUGCUAUAAAAAAGUAAAAUAAUUAUGAAUCUUAGUGAAAAGGAUUCCACUGCACCCCUUCCUCCUGGCAAAGCUUAGCUCAAGGUAGAAGAGGGAGCCUCCGUAUGAUAUAUCAUGGGAAAGAAGAGGAAGUACUUUGAUUGGAAAACAGAGAUGCCACAACAAGAAAGGAACGGAUUCUUGACGCUGAUGAAGAAAAUCAGAAAAGAGGGGCCAUUUAGAGAUUUUAGAAUGUCUGAAGGUACAGUCUGGAAUCAACAAAAACUAAUCACAAGGUAUAGCAAAUCCCGGUUUCAAAUACUAUGGUCAAUCUACUUCAUGCAAGAACUGCUUAAAGUACAACUUCGAUUCUUUAAGGCUAAUGGAAUGCCCUUUGCAUAAGGUAAGGUUAUGGAUCAAUUAUUUAUGAUCAGGAGAGAGACUCAUUUAUUAUUUUAAAAUUCAAAUAAAAUAAUUAUUAGAUACACAAGUUGCUUUAUACAACAAAUAUCAUCCUCCACUUCCCAAUAUAUUACAAUCAUUAUUUACUAGUCCCUCUGCAGUUACACCUCCAAUCUAUAAGAUAAUAUGAAGGAUCAAGAUUAACAUAAAUCAACGGGUUAAGAUCUUCAAUAUGAACAGAAAAAAAAAAAAAAAACCAAGUAUAAAACGAAAUUAAGCAGUUUUCUAGAAGUCUUCAUCUACCCAAGCACAAUAUGAUAUCAUUUUCUUUAUCACCUCAUGCAUGUAAUAACUGCAAAUUAUUUUCUGUGCAAAGCACGUGAAAGAAGAUGAUGAGACUUUCAUUUUAGCUGUCCAUGGAUCAGUUGCUUUUACAAAAAUUUCAUAUUGGUUGUUCAUGGAUAAAGUAAUUUAUGAAAAUAUGAUGAACAGAAACUAAUAAUUGUUAUCUAUGAAUAAUAUCACGGUUAAUGACUUAUGCCCAAAUUCAUUUUGUCCAAAGAUUUAAAGAACAAUUUAUCAGGACUUAUAUUGCAAAACCUCCCUGGCCAGGUACAGAUGAAAGAAAAUCAGGCAAAUAAUGUCUGGAAGCAAAAGCUAUCUAGUAAACCAGAAUAUCACUUUAGUCUACCAAAACAAUAUUCAAAAGCAAAGAAAGUAACAAAUUAAAAAUAUAUAUAUAUCAAUAUUCUAAGAAAGAUGCACCAUGGAAAAAUAAAUUGAUAGAUUAAAAGUAUCAUGUGAAGGGCAAGUGAUGAUUCUUGUGGCAACUUACUUGUAAAUUUGAUCUAAUUGACCUUCUUCAAUGGCAAGAUCCGAAUUCUUCUGCGCAGAAAAAAUAACCACAGUUUUAAAUAUCCGCCCGUAAAGCAGUCUCCACUCCAGGGCAGUACGUUCCACAGGACCAUUGCAGAACAUGAUUAACACGAUAUUUCCAAAAUUCUUCCUCCAUCGUAUCAAAUUCCCAAUCUCAGAGCUAACCAUCCCUGUUUCCUCCACUGCUAAAUGAACAGAUGGCAAUUUCUGAGGGAUAUAUUCUUUUCGAUCCCCAUGACCGAUAUUUGCCCUUGGUCUGUCCAGCUCCAAUGUCAUCAACCUUGGCUGCUGAUAACCUACGGCAACCAAGUCUUGAAGCCAAGCAGCAGUAAACUUGAGAUCCUGCUCCGUCCAAAACCCCUCCUCCGCCAUGGCAUAACUCAGUUCCAAUAUCUUCUCAAACAACCUAUGCUUGUUUGAUCUCCAUGACACCAAGAAUUUGAUCAAACGACCUACAUUCACAUGAAGAUCCUUCUCCUCUGAAAAGGGGUAUGCCUCAAUUCUGUCAUACCGAUGAACUGUAGGAGGAUACACAGCAACACUACCACCAAUCUCCCACAAGAGCCGCUGUCCCCAGUAACCCCUCAAUCCAUCUGAAGCCAUCGUACUAACAGAAACAGGGAGCAUCAAGGCCCAAAAGGCCGAUGAAUGGUAUAACGUAUUGAACGAAUUCAAUGGCACCAUCAUACCUUGAGGAAAGGCCACUUUUGGUGCAUGCUCAUCAAACCUAAUAUCAAAGGCUUCGAAACCCGACUUCCUAGUAAAAUAAAACACGGAAUCAACAUCCGGUAACCCGUUUGAAAUCCCUUGCUGUAUGAACUGUUUCCCACCAAAGACCUCAGUGUAAAACUCCUCGUGUCCAAAGUCACCCACAUUUUCCAAUGGUAAUCCCCUAGGCCAAACUGAACGUUGGCCGAAAUGAAUAUAAGGGUUGACUACAGUCCUAUUAGGAUUAUCAUGGCUAUACUGCAAUAUAACUUCUUGCCUAGCCCCUUCCCCUACUAAUUCUACAUCAAAAUGUUUCCCUAGAUCAUUAUCAAUUACUUCCCCACGAUCAUCAGCAUCGAAGAUCUUUUUGGCACCAUGUUGAAUCGCAAACAAGUAACCGACGCUCUUUCUAACAUAAGAAUCGUAAGGCAAAUGAUCCACAACGCGAAAACCCAAAUUAGCUUGCAUAUCUAAAGACAAAAAAAUCGCACCUUUUAAGCUCCAAUCACUGGGAGUCCUGGAGUUCCCAAUUGCCAAAACUUGCCACCCUUUAAUCUUCACCAUCUUCUUCAAUGCAUCGGAGGGGUAAUUAGAAACGGAGACAACGACCCAUUGCUCUGAUCUGAAAUUAGCGUAAGGCGAAGUGCGGUCAGGAAUGGGUUUGAUGGAAUUCCAGUUGAUUUGAGGGAGAGAGAUGGAAUCCACGGCGCUCUGGGUUUCGGAUUGGAGGCAAAGGAGAAAAGCUGUGUUGGUGGAGGAGUAGAUGAAGAAAACGGCGGCGAUGGUGAGGAUUAGGACUAAGAUAGUGACGAUUUUGUAGCAGUUGUCGGGUACCCAUGCGGAGAAGUCGAGGUUUUUGGGUUCAGACAAUCUGUUGGGUUGAACAGUGGGGAGCUUUCUGAUCUGGGGAGGUUUUGGAGACUUAGGAACUGCACGGUCUUGGACCAACAUUUGAUCUUUUCUUCUUAGAUAGAUUCUUCCAAACCUAAAUUCUUGCUAGAUCUUCACUUUUGCUCCUUAAUCUCAGCUUCACUCAUAGAUUCCCCAAUUGCAUUUCUAUUUAAUUUGCUGUUUCUGUUGUGUAAAGAAGAGGGAAAGAAACAGAAAGACAGUCACCUUGGACUCUUUUUAAUGACCUCUGCCGACAGCUACAAGCGAACACACACAACCGGGUUUCGUAGGCUUCAACGUAAAUUUUUAGCAACUGAUGAGUGGUAGUUUGGUGGGUCGUUGUCCUGUCUUCUUCUGCAAAUAUUUUAGGAUAAAAUACUAUUAUAGUAAGUAGUAUAUUAUUCAACUCAUUCCAUAUUCAUCACUUAAUUAAUUUUUUUAUUAAUUAAUUUUCAAAAUUAAAUAUUUUUGGGUUUGUUUUAAUGGAUGUAAAAGUAGUUUUAUUUUGUUCACCUAAUACUAAAUUUAGUUUUUCAAUAUUUAUAUAUUAUAUCAAUUUAAUCUUAAAUUUAAAAAUUUUAUCAAAUUUAGUCAUCAACGUUUACAAUAUUUACCAUUUUAGUCCUUAUUAUAAAAAUUGGAUAAAAUACUUAAAAAUCUUUAAAAAUUUUAAUAAGUAAAUAUAAAUAUAUGUUUAAGAUUUUUGUACACAAAAUUACUUUAAACAAUAUCUUUCACUUUGUUCUUUCUUUCAUUCAAUUGAUAAAGUUAGAAAUAUCAAAUACAAUGGCCUUGACAUGUAAUCUCUCUCCAAUUCUUGGGUUAGAAAUGAUAAAAAGAUGAAAACACUAUAGCCCAAAACUAGUAUUAUAUAUGUAGCAAAGAGUAAGACCGUCGAAGUGGGUGUCAUCAACUCAUAUAGCUAAAGAAAAAAGGGGACUAAAUUAAAAGAGAUUGAAUAAAAAAUAGCUUUAAUUUAUGGAGUUUUCACAUGUUUGAUUGAUAAGAAAAUGAGCAUGGUUGGUAAGAAAAAAAAGAGGGUAAAUGAUAAUCUAUAAUAGAACCAUAAUCUUUAAGCAAUUCAACCCAUCUACAUAGUCUCAAGUUUAGUUCCUUUUAAAUAAGCAUAUACUUUAAACUUUAAUGAUUAGUGAAGACAUGACACUUCUCACCAUAUAAGUAAUGUCUCCCAAUCAUUAAGAAAAAACUACUAUUGCAUGCUCUAAUUCAUGAGUAAGAUCAUUCUUCUCGUGUGACUUGAGUUGUUGUGAAGCAUACACAACUCCUUUGCUCUCUGGCAUUAAUACACAACCUAGACCAUUGUGAGAUGCAUCACUAAAUACUAAAAAUUCUUUACUAUACUCAGGUUAUGUCAAAACAAAUGCUUUUAUCAACAUUGCCUUUAAUCUCUCAAAACUCUACUGACACUUAUUCGACCAUUCAAACUUAACAUUUUUUUUGCAGUAACUAGGUCAAACAAGAAGCAAUUAUCGAGAAUCAUUUUAUAAACCUCCGAUAAUAUCCGGCUAAAUCAAGGAAACUUCUUACUUUAGUGACAUUUUGUAACACCCCAUAUUCAACCCGAUCAUCGAGUCUGAGCUACAAGAUGUCAUAUUCAUUGCUGGAGCAACUACAAUCACAUUUGCAAUUCAAAUAAACAAUUUAUGUGUUAUUUUAAGCUCAAUACAUAAUUGUAAAAUGUUAUAUAAUUAAAUUCAAGAUAUAAACGAACUUAUGAAAGCUCUUUUGAUAAAUCGAGGUUGGUUGAGGACUAAAAUAUAACAUUUUUAAAAUUCUCAGGUUGGUGUCGCGAUGUCGAAGGUAUCACGUCGCAACUUUGACAAAACAAUAAGUUUCAUCAAGACAUCGGAGAUCCAUGGCCACGACACCACUUUUUAUCGAUUUCACAUUUCAAUGUUGAAGGUCUGUCCUUAGGACGUCACCUACUAUUUUGCACAAUAUCCAUUAGGAACCAAUUCACAACAACUUACAAAAUGACCAAUUCUAUACCUAUUCCAUUUAAGCAAAGUACACACUUUCGAGCAUAUAAUAUGCCACAAAUCAAACAAGCAUUUCUAAUCAAAAUUUACCAAUUUGACUAUUCCAACUUAAAAUCGACUCAACAUAUGUUACCAUUUGCAUAUUUCAACCAUUUCAACCUUAUACUAAUCUCAUGAAUGCAUUUAACAAUUCAUAUGCUUGGGACUCGAAAUAACAUUACCAAUUUAAGAUUCCAAAAUGACUAUUUACAUUACAAAAGUGACUCAAUGUAACAUCCUAUACCUAGUCCGAUCACCUAACCCGAGCUAUAAGGUAUUACAGUUGUAAAGCAUUUCUAUCAUAUAAAGAUUCGACAAAAAUAACCAACAAAUCUAUUAAACAACAUUAACAACAAUAUGAUGUGAUUUGCAAUCAAAACCGAGCAUUAAUUUAACAUAUAGGACCUUUAAAAAAACUUGGAAUCAAAUUAUGACUAAACUGAAACUUUUGUAAAAAUUCAUGUAAUACCCUAAAAAAAUUUUUUACAGUAAGAUAUUAUCUUUGAUAUAAUAAAAUAAGGAAAUAAAGAAACAAAAAGGGGAAAUUUUGGAGUUAUGCCAACAUUGGAAAGUAUAUUAUGACAUAUUAGUUCAAGAAAAGAUUAAAUCGCAAAAGUGAGAAAAGUUUUGUUGCCCAAGAGUAAAUACUCAAAAAUUGAGAGGUUCAAGUGUAAAUAUGAAAAAUAUGAAGGACCAAUGGUGUAAAUAUUUUAAGGGUGGAAUGAUCUAGAAACUAAGGAAAAUGGAUGGAUUAGGACCAAGUUGAAAAAGGUGAAGAAUUUUGAGGGACUAAAUCGCAAUUUUACUAAAUUAAGUGAUGACUCAAGAAUGGAUUUUUAAAAGAUCAUAAGGGCAAAAUGGUUAAUUAAAAGAGAGAGAAAUCUAGAAGAUAAUGAUGAUGUUGGAGAUAUUUUAUAUUAAAUAAAUAAAUAAAUAAAUAUUAGUUUAUUAGUAUUUUAAUUUAAUUUUUAAAUAAUAUUUUAUUAUUUUAUUUAGUAUAUAUAUAAGAAAAGGAAGAUGAAGAAUGAGGGAACCCACUAUUUUGCCAUGCACCAACGUGAGAAAAAGAGAGAAAGAAAGAAAGUUUUGCUUUCUUUACAAUUUGGUCCUUCCACCAAAAAUUCACCAUUUUCAUAUAGAAAUCAAAAGAAUUUCCAUAUCCAUUAAGAGAGAAAGAUAACAAGGAGACUAUGGGGAGCUAGAAUAUCAAGUUAGAUUCAAGAAAUAGAAGCUGGAGGAGAGAGAAAAUCAAGUUAAAGAUUGAAAUCAAUAUGACAAGGUAAGAACAUUAAGAUUUUAAUAUAUUUUUAAGUUUGAUAUUAUUGAAAAAGUAUGGAAAUGAUGUUAAUGUAAAGUUUUCGUAUAUAUGGUCCUAUGUUCUUGAUAUGUUAGUGAAGAGAAAAUAAGAGAAAGUGAUGAGAAAUAGUGUAGCAAAAGAAAAAAAGGGUGUUAUAAACAUGAUAAUAAACAUCUUGCACUAAAACAGUUUUGGACAGCAACAGUAGGUUAACUUUGAAAAAUCACCAUAAAUUAUGGAAAUUUAAUUAGAAGAGGAAAAAAAUAUGAAAUUAAAUCUUAUUAAGUCCAGUUUCUUAUAGAAGAAGCGGUGUAAGUAAUGAAAUUGUAAAACAUGAGAUAUAAUAAAUUUUGUGAGACAAGGUCAGAAUGAAUUCGGGUUCCCCUGUUCUAACUUUGGAAAAUCAUAAAAAAUUUUAUAAAAAUAAUUAGAGGCUUAAAUUUAUAUGUUUAAAAUCAUGAAUUAUUAUAUUUUAAAUAUAAAUAAACGGUAACAUCAUCUGAAUUCUGUACAAAGAGAUAAUUAAUUUUUAGUGAAAAGGGGUCGGAACUGUCAAACAGUGAAAUAGGGGAAACUUUAAAGAAUAAAAUGUACUUAUUGGCUAAACAAAAAAUUCUGAAAAUUUUAUGGUAAUAAGAUAUGUGAGUAUAGUUUCAUAAAAAAUUUACAGAUCUCAAUUCGGAAUUCUGUAGCUUAAGAUAUAAUUAAUUUAGUGACUAUGAUUCAAGUGAACAACUUGUUAUGAGUAAAUAAGUAAAUAGUGGUAUCAUGUAUAUAUUAAGGAUGUGGAAUGGAGUGAAGGAGGAGGAAAAAUAUAUGUGAAUAUUCUGAUAAUAUGAUUUAUUGUAAAAAUAGCUAAUUUACAUGUUUUAAGUUUAGGGACUAAAUUGAAUAAAAGUAAAAUUUUUAGGGUAAUUUUGUAAAAAUGGAAAAAAUGACCAAAUUUCAAGAAAUGAAUAGUUUUAUCGUCUAAAUUAAUAAAUUUAAUGAAAUUAUUAAUUUAAAUCAAAAUCGCGUGAAAAGUCGAGGAAAAUGGAAAAUUUCCAAAACGCUCAUGUAUCAUGAUAUUUAUGCAAUUUAGCCUAGUAAAUUUACAUUACUGUAAUUCAAAUCUAAGGCUGUGUUUGAUUGGCAGAAUUGAUUUUUCAGAAAAUCAAUUACAAGUUUUCCAGUGUUUGAUUGGCGGAAAACAUUUUCCUUUUGGAAAAUCAAUUCCGCAACACGGGAAAUUGGGUUACAUUUUAGGGAAAAUGUCUUACCCUUUCAAUUUCCGUAAGACAUUUUCCCUGCUCUCCUGCCUUCUAAUACCUUCAUUCCUUCCAUCAUUUCCAGUAGAAAAAGUGCUUUUGUCGACUGAUUUUCCACUAACCCCCCACAAGAAGUCCUUCAUUCCUUCAUUUCCUCAGUUCCCAGUGGCAGAUUAUCACAGUUUUCUUUCAUUUCCUCGGUUCCCUCUUCUCCGGCUGAUUCAGUUACCGAUCCAAACGUUCUCUCCGACCACCAUUUAUUUUUGCUAUCUCCACUCCAAUUUCUGUCAGAUCUGUGGGAAAUUUCAGGUAACCUUAUUAUUAUAGACAUUAUUUGAUUUUUUAUGGUUUUAUUUUCAAUGUCGAAAAAGACUUGCUGGGUUUGUAUUUUCUGUCCCGAUAUUAGUGCAUUGUUCAGUAAUUGUAAAAGGGUUUUAGGUUUUUAUGCACAAAAAUUGGGUAAUGCAAGGUAAAUAAUAAAUAUGCAGAUCAGUAAUGUCUGAUCCUGCAAAUUUUCGUUGUUCCAAAAGGGAGUAAGACUGAUGUUGUCUUAGCUUCUAUUUUGAAAUCAUACCUAUGGAAUCAUUGUCGGUUGCUCACCUUAAUAAUAAAUAUGCAACUUAAGGAUAAAAAUUCUGAUAUAGUAUCUGAUUUUAACAAAUAGUUAUUAGAUUUAGGUGAUGGAAGAAUACCUAAUGUCGCACUAGAGGUUAAUGUAGAUUCCCCAACCCAUUACCAUACCAUAUUGAUUCUUAAUCCCUUAACGACUGAUUCAGUUUGUGUAAUAUUUGGCUACAUUUAUCUAGAACUCGAGGAAAAUUUCAAUAACACGACAUACCUAAAGGAUUAAGCUAUAUUGUCAACUACUAAUGAAGUGGUAAACAAGGUGAAUGAUUUUGUGCUUCUGAGGAUUCCAGGUGAAUCUAGAACAUAUCCCAGUUCAGAUAAAAUUUAUCCUGCAUCUGGAAAUAUUGAAGAACAAUCCCUUCUGUAUUCAUCAGAAGUCCUGAAUUCUUUGAAAUUUACUGUGUACCUAGUCAUGAGAUUUUUAGUUGAAAGUUGGGGUUCCAAUAAUGUUAUUGAGAAACAUUAACCGAAGUGUUGAUUUAUGUAAUUGUACUGAAUUGGUUGUGACAAAAUUGGGAUCUAGGUUUUUAUUAUUAUGUUGAAACUAUUACUAGUAGUAGUGUCGGGCAACAUUGUUUUAUUCCUCGAGUAGAAGUUUCACCAUCCGGUUCAAAAUGGCCUUCCAAUUUCAGAAGAAGGCAAUUUCCAAUAAAAGUUAUGUUUUCUUUUACAAAAAUUUUCUUUCCUCUACUGCAAAAGUUUUUGGAUUUUUUUGGAUAUCAUGUCUGAUCCUGCUAUAUUUUCCUUUUGAGAUUCCUUACGCGACCCUACUUGUCUGCAAACAAUUAGCAUUCAAUCAUAGAUUGCAAUUUUCUUCUGUUUGAAGCAUGAUUCACACCAUAUAAUACAAGUAUUGAUAUAUUGUAAUUUCAAUCCAUUAAAUUAAACCAUUAAUGAUUUGUGUUUGAUUUUUUAUUGCUCCUAACGGUUCUAAUUUCUUUCUAUGCUUGACCUCCAGCUGUAUAGUUCUUGCUGUCCUAUCCUCUACCUCAGCAUUCUUACUCCUGUUGGUGGCCUUGGUUGAUAUUUUCAUAAGAGGUUGGUCCAAGGUUUUAUCUUUGGAAUGUCUUCUUUCUUGGUUCUGGUCUGCCAAUGGCAUGGCAUUUGUGGUUGUUAUAUGUUUGUGGUGUGCUUGAUUUAUGAUUUUGUAUAAUAUGCAUUUGUGGUUGUUAUAAUUCGGUUCAAGUGAAUUAAGCAUGGUUGUUGGAUGUGUUUGGGUAUGGUUUAUUAUUGAUUUACAUUUUGACUGUAAUUUGUUUACGUAUUACUUGGGAAAUGACAGUGAUGAGUUGUUAUAUUUGGUUGAUGGUAGGUAAAUACAUAUGUGCGUAUGUCAUGAAUUUUGGUAAUUUUGGCAUGAUUUAUAGCAUAUGGAAUUGGCAUUGAAAAGGUCAAGCUUUAGGUUGUUAUUAUUAUGUUGUCAGUGGUAAUAUGCAUUUGUGGUGCAAUACAAGCACAGAAGCUGCUAUUAACCAACAAGACAGCCGAUAACCAAUGGGGAACAGUAUAAGUUUAUGGGAACAAGGACCUUUUCCCAAGUUUCCAUGUUAUAGAUUUAAAUAUAUGUAGUAAUAUAGAGUUUAUGCCAAGGAAUUAUGUUUUUUUCUUUAAAAUAUAAGGAAAUGUUGUUUAAAUAUUACACAUUGAUAUCAAUUUGGAAGUUUAGGUGUGAUAAAUAUUCAUUUGCUAUCUGAAUUCAAACAUGCUAAAUUUCCAUGAAAGAGAUUGUAGUGAAUAUACAGUAUGAACAGGAGGGAAAUAAUUCAUGCACCCCACCAUUUUUUUCACAGUUCAAAGACUCAGAAUUAAAGAAAAGAUGAAGUUAGAAAUGGGAAAGUCUCAAAACUUUUGCAAAUGACAGAUGAACCAAAAUCAAAUUUGUUUUUAACUUUUCAAGUAGAUUUUGAUUUAAGAAAUCAAGAAGCUAGUAAUAACUCAUCUAUAUAGGCAUCUUAGGGACUGAUAUUUUUGUUAAUUAUGUCUAAAAUUUUAACUGUAUUUAUUGUUAUCUAUAUAGCAAUUGUAGCAGUGCACUUAAACAUUAUUUAUUUUUUAUAAAAAGUAAUCAAUUUUUAAUUUAAAAAAUUAUAAAAAAUAGAAAUAAAAAUAAAUUUAUAACAUUGUCAAAUUUUUUGUUUAUAUCGAAAUAAAAAAAGAAAACACACUUGAUAGCAAUUAUAAUUUAAAAUUUUUUUAUAUUUUAAAAAAGAGGCAUCACCAUUUUUAAUAAUGUUUUUGCAAUAAAAAACAAUACUUAAAUAAUCAAAUUUCUGUUAAUGUAUAUUUUUUAUAAAUAAUAUUUUAAAUAUUAAAGUAUUGUAUUAACUAUGAUCAAUAUUUUUUAAGUCAUGGUAACUUUAUAAAUACAUGAUCAAUAUGUUAAUGUAUAUUUUUUAUAAAUACAUGGUAACUUAAAUAAUAAAAAUAUUUUUUAUAAAUACAUGAAAGAUAACCUAAUAAUAUAUAACAAAAUCUUGCACCAAUUGAAGUAUUGUAUUAACUAUGAUCAAUAUAUUUUAAGUGCUACUUUCAAAAAAUUAUUAUUGAGCAAUUAUAAUUAGCUUGAUAUGUAUGUAUGCACUUUUUUAGUCAUGGUAACUUUAUGUGAUCUUAUGAAAAUCUUGCAUCUUUUGUAGUAGUGAUCAUAUAUUUGUGUGGCAUUAUUUUGUGUAGAUGGAUCGUAAUCAACAUCAAAUGGCAAUUGUCGGAGUUGUGGCUUCAGUUUUAGCUUUUGGAGCUCUUUGGAUUAAAAAAUUAGAAACUAGGAAGGAAAUUGCUUCUCGCCCUCGUGUGAAUCGAGAUUAUGAAAGAGAAAACUAUAUUAACAGUAUUUUAUAUAGUGGUGACCAGCAUUGCAUUGAUGUGAUAAGGAUGAGACCGAUCGCCUUUUUUAAUUUAUGUGAUAUUCUUAGUACGAAUAAUUUGUUACAAUCAUCUAAAUCUGUCGAUAUUAGGGAGCAAGUAGUUAUAUUUUUACAUAUAAUUGGUCAUAAUGUAAGGUUUCGAGUGAUUGGAUCUAGAUAUUAUAGAUCAACUCAGACAGUUCACCAUUACUUUAGGGUUGUACUGAGAGCUAUUUUGAAAUUGUAUAGACUAGUUAUUAGAUUACCUGAUGAGUCAACUCAUAGUGAAAUUAUAAAUAAUCCAAGGUUUUAUCCUUAUUUUAAAGAUUGUAUUGGAGCAUUAGAUGGAACUCAUAUUCGUGCAUCCGUUCCACUUAGCAUGCAAGGAAGAUUUCGUAGCCGUAAAUGGGGGAUGACACAAAAUGUAUUGGCUGCCAUUACAUUUGAUUUGAAAUUUUCCAAUGUUCUAGCUGGUUGGGAAGGUAGUGCACAUGAUUCUCGUAUUUUAAGUGAUGCACUUUCACGCCCAAGAGGAUUAAGAAUUCCGGAAGGUAAUAUUUAUCACAAAUAGUUCUAGUAAGCUCAUAGUUUAUUAGUAUUAACUAUGUAUUGUAAAAUUGUAGGUAAAUAUUAUCUUGCUGAUGCUGGAUAUGGCAUCUGAAUUGGAUGUAUUACCCCAUAUCGUGGUGUCCGAUAUCAUUUAAAAAAGUUUGGUGCUGAAGGGCCUGAAAAUGCAAAGGAACUCUUUAAUCUUCGCCAUUCAUCAUUACGGAUCACUGUUGAACGUGUUUUUGGGAUUUUGAAAAAACGGUUUCAUGUAUUAGAUGCUGAACCAUUUUGGAAUUUUCAAACUCGAGUAGAUAUAGUUUUGGCUUGUUGUAUCAUUCAUAAUCAUAUAAUGGGAGUUGAUCCUAGUGAUUUACUUAAUCAAGGAUUAUACGAGGUGUCUGAGUCUGAUUCGAUAAUACAAACUCUCACGGAGCGAGAAGAAAGACAAGAAGCAAGAGAGAGAUGAAAUUGCACAAACUAUGUGGACUGAUUAUAUGGCUAGAAAUAUUAGGUAGAUUUAGGGCUUAGGGUUAUUGUUUCUAUGUUAUGUAUGUUUUAGUAUAAUUUUCUUUUUUUUUUUGUAAAUGUUGGUUGGAUAAUGAUAUUGAAAUUUUAGAUUGUUGGAUUUUGAUAUAUGUCUUGAAUUUGUUAGAUAUUGAUUAUGUUUUAACCUUGUUGGAUAUUGAAUUGAUUAUUAUGUUUUAAGCUUGUUGGAGAUUGAAAUUAUUGACAAUGACAAUUAUUUAAUGUAGAAUGGGUAAGGGCAACAAAGAAGGGACCUCCAAGCAAUUCAGGUGGACAAAACCGAUGGAACAUGUUUUCCUUGAAAUUCUAGCAGAGGAGGCUCGAAAAGGAAAUAAGCCUUCUAAUACUUUCAAAUCAGUUUCUAUUAAUCGAGUUGUCGACGCCAUUUCUGAAAGAUUCCAAGUCCAAUGCGAUGUGAAGCAUGUGGAAAAUCAUUUGAGGACAGUAAAAAACCAGUGGCAGAUUAUAUGCAAAAUUCGAGGUGAAAGUGGUUUUGGAUGGGAUGAUAACAUGAAAAUGAUCACAUGUGAUAGAGCGACAUAUGAUGCAACAGUGAUGGUAAUAUAUGACUAUAUAUGUUAAGUAUAUUUCAAUUGUUUUUUACUUGUUAUUCUAAUUGUGUAUAAUAUCCAACAGGCACACAAGAAGUAUGAACCAUUUCUGAAUAAAAGCAUUGAUCAUUAUGAUGAAAUAGCUUUGGUUGUUGGCAAAGAUAUGGCAACAAGGAGUUUUGCCAGAACAUUUGCUGACCUAGAUUUGGAUGAUGGUAAUGAAGAUUCAAUGCCUGUAGACUGCGACAAUGAAGAGGCUGAAGAGGUAAGAACAAAUGUAUAUUCAUCUGGCACAUCCAAACGUAAAAGAAAAAGUGGUCAAGAAAGUCUCGUUGAUGAACAAAUUAAAUUUAUGGGUGAACAACUUGGCAAAAUUGCUAAUGCUUUGGAACAAUUUACUGUCGAUAAGACAUCACAGCUUUACGAACAAGUGAUGUCGAUGGAGGAAGAAGGAUUUGAUGAUGACUUCUUGUGUUUUGUGUUUGAUUAUCUAGUGAGUCGUGAAUCAGAGGCCAAAGCUUUUUUAGUUAAAAGUAAGAAGCAUAGAAAAAUUUGGCUUCAAAAAUUUUCUCAGGGUUGAAGAUAUUGAUACUUUUAUGUGGUGUAAUAUUAUGCACUUGGACAAUGUUGUUACUAUGUGGUGUACUACUAAUUAUGUAUUUGGAUAAUAUUAUUUCUAGUACUCAUUGUGGUUUCGAAGCAAUUUAUAAUUAUUCAAUAUUAUUUCUAGUACUCAUUGUGGAUAAUAUUUUUUCAAUUUAUAACGAUCAAUAUUGUAGCUUAAUAAUUGAGUAUUAUUAUAAAUAAAUCAUUGCAAUAUAUGUAAAAACAAUUUAAAAUAUAAAAAUUUAUUAAUAUAUAUUAAUAUAUGUAAAAAACAACUUUUUCGGAAAAUAUUUUCAGGAAAUCUGUCAAACAGCAGAAAAUAUUUUACACAGAUUCAAUCAAACACCAGAAAAUAUUUUCCAGUAAAUCAUUUUACAAAAAAGUAAAAUAUUUUCCAGAAAUCAUUUUACGGCAAACAUUUUACUGCCAAUCAAACAGACCCUAAUUAUUAUUAAUUAUUGUGUUUUAAUUGAAAUGCAUGGUAAUUAAAUGGAAAUUGCUAGUGAUAUGAUUUGAAUUGUGAGCAUGAGAAAUUGCGAAUUGAAUGAAACAAAAAUGAAGCAUUGAAUUGCAUGAGUAUGUAUCGGGUCUCGUAAGCCCUAUUUAUUAUGAAUAUAAUAUUUUGAGGAUAUAUUGUGAGAAGUUAUAAAAGCAUGUUAACAAAUUUGAAAAUUAUUAAUUUAGAUGAAAUUUUAUAACUCGGUUAAAUACGUUUACAAGUGUAUGUGUUCUAAUAAUGCCUCGUGCCCUACUCCGGCGUCAAAUACGGGUAAGGGGUGUUACAAUUCAGGUAAAAAGUGUAGUCCCUAACAUGGUCGUGUUGUCUAACUGUGUAAUAGAUUUAAACCGUGUACUCUUGGGACACACGAUCGUGUCACCAGACCGUGUAACUAACUGAGGUCGUGUGGACAAACCUGCACCAAAAUUAAACAGGCCAUAUGGUCGUAUCAAUCAAUCGUGUGUGGCACAUGACUGUGUGGCAGGCCAUGUCACAGGCCAUGCCACUUAUAAUCGAGUCAAAAUAAGUAAACAGUUGCCGAGAAAAUUGACGAAUAGUGUGAUCUCCAGAAACGAUCAAAUCGACAACUCGAGCCUGACAAUCUACAAUGAAGAAAACGAAAUGAGAUAAGCUUACAUAAAACUUAAUAAGUUCGUAUAGUUAAAACAUCACAUACCUAUCAUUUUAAGCAUUAACUAGAAUUUCAUGCCUUGUUUCACAUUUCCUACCAUAUCAAACGGUUAAAAAUGUACAUAUAAUAUUAAAAAAGAUAUCAAGAUACAUGAUUCACGUAUCAAUUUACAACCAUUACAUGUAUUUAACCAUUCAUGCCAUGAACUUUAUUUCGAAACAUUCCAUUAAUCGUUUUGCUCGGAGAACAAUAGCAAAUUAACUUUGGAUACACGAGAAUAAUGCUUACACGAGUUGAUCAUCAGAAAUGCUGCUCAUACAAGCUUACAAGAACUGCAACAAAUACUAGAUUCCAACCAUCGGUAUGGUAUCCACCACCUGUACAUAGUACCUGGAAAUAUAUCCCCAGCACAAAGUGCCUAGAAUUGUAACAUUGGUACAUAGUACCUGGAAAUAUAUAUAUCACCGGCACAAAGUGUCUUGACCUGUAAUCAUCGGCACUUACUGCUUGGAACACCCUAAUGACAUGUCAUUUGUAUCCUAGCUAUUCAUUGAGUUCACACGAACUUAACUUGUAUACCUUAACCUUUUCAUAAUUAAAACCUCAUACAAUGAUCAACUUGAUCUCAAAUAUUCCAUAUAAUAACAUAAUUCAAUUCAAACAAGUAAAAUUACCAUGCUUUACAUUUCAAACCUUUGUUCCACCAUCAAACUUACCUUAAUUAACUAUGCCCAUUAUACAUACAUACUUAUACACAUAUAUGAUUAGAAUUCAAAACAUCAAUAAGUGUAACAAAUUUACUACGAAUUUACCUAAACAUACAUAAUUUACUAAAAACGGAUAAAGAAAUCACUUACAUGCAAGAGUCUUGUUGGCUGAACUUAAGAAGCUUUAACGAUGGGAUUUUGAAGCUUAUUUUCUGUGGUAACCUUAAGAAGAUGAUGAUUCUUUUCUUUUUGUUUUAUUAUUUAACAUAUAUUAUUAUUAAAUAAAUAUAUUUUAACAUAUGAAAUGCUUGAUGACAACCCAUUAACCGUCCACUUAGACUAAUUGUGGUCCAAUUACCUCUUAAGUACUUUAAAAAUCUUUAAUCAUGCAUAUUAACUAAUAAAAAAUUAAUAUCAAUUAAAAUUUUGCAAUUUUUACGAUUUAGUUAUUUUUUCUUAAUUAACUAUCUAAAUAUUAAAAUUACCUAACUAAAUUUUAAUAUGGCACUUUAGUAACCCUGUAAUUAUUAAAUAAAUGAUAAUUAUUGACUUACUGGUCGAAAUUAUGGUCCCAAAAUCAUUGUUUCUGACACCAUUAAAAACGGAUUGUUACACUCAAACUUUUGGUACAUGCCAUAUAUUGAAAUCAUAAGGGGACUAUACAAACAAUGUUGAGUCAAGAGUUGUGGAUUGGAUGCCGAAUCACUUCUCAGGUCUUCGAGAUCUGUUAAUACCUGCGCAUGGAAAUAAACAAACUGUACACUAAACGACAAAGUUAAGUGGUACUUUCAUUAUUUAAGUCAAUAAAACAAAAGCAUAUUCAUGUUAAUAUACAACCAAUACGUUUAAAUCUAAAAAUCAUCUCAUCACCACACAUCACCAUAAAAAUUAAUAUUUAACCAUUUUUUAGUCUCAAAUUACCAAAAUGCCCUUAGGAGCAAAAUUAUCAUUUUGCCCCAUCAUCUCGUAUUUUACUCGAUUAAGCUUGAAACUCUAAAAUAUGUCAAGAUGCAUUUUAAUGACCUCUCAAUAGUAUAAAAAUAAUUAAAUAUAUUACAAAUGAAUUCUCUCAUCGGAUAUAUGGAUAAUAUUAUCAUAACAGCCUCGUAUGAAAUACCAAAAAAUUUGGGCCAUUACAACUCCUUCGAGAGAAGUUUUCAAAGUGUCGUUCAUUGGUUGCUAACCAGUCUCCCAACAAUUGAAGAUAUAGUCCCUCAGGAGGUUAUCGCUUGUACUCGUGACUACAUAAUUAUUCUCAUGCCCUAUAUUAACACCUUCCCCUUGAGUCUUGUAGGUCCACCAACCAAGACACUCUCUACUUAGUGAACUAGGACCACCGGGCAGAUGCUCAUAGCACGUUGACUCUUGACAAAGUAUGAAAGACAAAACUCUUAUUAAGAGACAAUACCUUCAGUUGUUGGGGGAUUGGUCAGGUGCUCGAUAGAUGACAUUUUGUAUACUUCCCCCGAAGGAGUGGAUCCCCCUCAACGGCUCAUAACCCCUCAAACCCUUAAAUCAGAAGAAAAUACAGGAUUAAGUGCCCUUGAACCUACCUUUUCCUAAUUGUUACAAUAACUAUGAUGCCAAUUAAUUUAAGGCUUAAUCGACACUACAUAGAAAUCUUUUUUGAAAUGAUAUAAACCUACAUAUUAUUACAACUAAGUUUUUUUUUAAUAUACAAAUCUAAUUCGGCAAGUGAAAACAAUAAAAAAUCAAAUUUAUUUUUUUGUAUAAAAAUAAAAACAUCUAAUUGCUCAUGCAAUAAAAUUUGAAUGUUUAAUCCUUUAAAUUUAAAAUAUGUAAGGUAAAAGAAAAUUUUAAUUCAUUUCAAUUUUAAUAUUAAGUAAAUUGAUCUCUCUUAAAAAUUAGAACAAUUUACUCUUUAUCAUUUUGAAAGUGAGUGACUAAGGACAAUUAAUUAUAACAUCAAUAUUAUUUUAACAUCGGUAUAUAUUUUAUUGGUUUAAUAAAAAUUUAGCUAUCAAUAUUUAUAAUUUUUGUGUAAAAUAUAGAUAAAAAAAUAUAAAUAUUACGACUAAAUUUGUUAAAUUAAGACUCAAUUGUAAAAUUAAUUCUCAAUUUUAUAAACUGACCGGAUACCUGAAAUUUCAGUAAGCAUUAAAAUCAGAAAAGAAGAUUGAAAAUUAACAGAGAGCUUCUCAUGUAUAUACUGAUGGGCCCAAAAGACCAGAAUCAUUUCAUUUCUCUUCAAAUAGAAUCUGCAACCAGUAAUGAAUCAUACAAAUGUAAUGAAUCUACAGAGGAACUUACAAAAAGAACACCCCCUUUCCCCCUGAAAAAUGAUUAUGGAACAAGUAAAGAAAAGAAAGAAAAAGAAAAAAACAGUUCUUCACAUUACAAUUACAAAAGUAGUACAUGUUUCUUUCCUCCACACUACUGCCUUUCAUUCAUGUUCAAACUAACUCCGUUAAGAGAGGAUCACCUUCACCCAUUAUUCUGAUUAGCUUUAUAAAUUCCUGCUCGCUUGACACCUUCCAUGGAUGCACUGCAGGCGCGUGUGCGGAAUAAUGUGUCGAAGAAGAAUUAGCAGAUUGUGGUUCUGGCUUAUACACCAUUGUACUAAGCACUGAAUCGAAAUUCUGAGGUGAAUCCAUUGACAAAAAGAACAUGGGUAUGGAAACCUUUUGAUGGAUAUCUUGAUGUCCGACCAGAUUAACAAGAUCAACAAAGUCCGCUACAAACCGUUGAGGAAUGUAGAAUAUCUCGGAACUGCAAAUUGUGAGGCUCUGGUCAC
This 19080-nucleotide long non-coding RNA is filed under the name Gossypium barbadense (sea-island cotton). Its description in RNAcentral is "long non-coding RNA (GBAR_LNC019396)". Lineage: Eukaryota; Viridiplantae; Streptophyta; Magnoliopsida; Malvales; Malvaceae. The record is from RNAcentral.